AAGAAUUUUUUUUGGGCAUUUAUGGGUGCAACAACUUUGUUUCCCGGUAUUGAAAUCGGUAUCCUUGUUGGGGUGAGCUACAGUUUUUGUAUUGCAUACUUCUUUUUGUGAUGGUUAUAAAGAAAAGCUAAAUAAGCGUUUGUGGGUCCGUCCAACCGGCCGUGCCACAUUCUAAAGUUAACGGUUUUGGCCGGUUAACAUGCACACAAAUUACGGCUUGGUUGUGAAAUCUUGAAGAAGAUGUUUCUUUAUUAAUUUGAUUAUAGUUUAUAGCGAUGACGGAGUUAUAGCAUCCUUUAAUGUCCUAAACGGGGCGGUGAUUCCUUUCGGUACGUGGAACCUGACGUGCAAUGUGCGGCAUAAAAACAUA
Molecule: long non-coding RNA, 370 nt
Filed under: Helianthus annuus (common sunflower)
Lineage: Eukaryota; Viridiplantae; Streptophyta; Magnoliopsida; Asterales; Asteraceae
Description: hypothetical non coding rna
Source: RNAcentral